UCCACUCUUCCACGAAUGCAAAUCAUUCGUGUUGACCAGUUUAUGAAAUUCAUUCCCCGAGUACAAAUUGGCUCACUUCAUAUUGAAUAAAUCUUCCCCUUUCUCACAAGAAUGCGAACAAAUGCAUCCUCACAAUUCAGAAUUAAAUACCUCUCGGCCGGAUUACGAAGAAACAGUAAUCCGAUCACAACAUCCCAAGAACAAUAACAUAGAACCGAACAUGGUUAACGAUCCUUGUAUAAAAUCGAUUAAUCAUAGUUCGAAUUAAAGAAUAGAAGUUUAACAGAUUGAACGAGAAUAAGAAACUAGGAGAGGACCUCGAUAAUCAAGCAAAUUAUCCCCUUUAAAGUAUAUAGAAAGAAUAAUCAGUUAUCUGAAGAAGACAUCAAAAGCAUAAAAUUCGCAAGAAUUACGAAUCAAAGUUCGGGGUCUCGACAAUUAAAAUGUCGAUGUUAGCGAAUAAUCAAGGUUUAGAGAGAAUUCAACUGAGUUAUUCUUGCAUUGAUAUAAUAACUCAAAGAUAUAAACAAGACUUCUCGAAUAUGAGCAAGGUUAGAAUUAAAUAUCGAAUAUGAAUUUCUGUAACGAAAUAAAGAUUACAAAAUAGGAUAAUCAUCUCAAAAGGAGUGAUAGGUUAAAGAUUUGAAAAUUGACGAUAUUUGUGAUUUUACAAAAUAAUGAGUCAUCCUGAACAAUAGGUGGACUCAGUAAUGUAGAAAACUGUUUGAAUAAUAUUCUGAACGAAUGUCAAAUCUUCUAGUAUCCGUCUCUUCCC
RNAcentral lists this long non-coding RNA (775 nucleotides) under Daucus carota (carrot). RNAcentral describes it as "long non-coding RNA (DCAR_LNC001950)". Lineage: Eukaryota; Viridiplantae; Streptophyta; Magnoliopsida; Apiales; Apiaceae. The record is from RNAcentral.